Molecule: ribosomal RNA, 253 nt
Filed under: uncultured bacterium
Lineage: Bacteria
Description: partial 16S ribosomal RNA
Rfam family: Bacterial small subunit ribosomal RNA
Source: RNAcentral
UACGAAGGGGGCUAGCGUUGUUCGGAAUCACUGGGCGUAAAGGGCGCGUAGGCGGCUUUAUAAGUCGGGGGUGAAAGCCUGUGGCUCAACCACAGAAUUGCCUUCGAUACUGUAGAGCUUGAGACCGGAAGAGGUAAGUGGAACUGCGAGUGUAGAGGUGAAAUUCGUAGAUAUUCGCAAGAACACCAGUGGCGAAGGCGGCUUACUGGUCCGGUACUGACGCUGAUGUGCGAAAGCGUGGGGAGCAAACAGG